RNAcentral lists this ribosomal RNA (433 nucleotides) under uncultured bacterium. RNAcentral's name for it is "partial 16S ribosomal RNA". It matches the Rfam family "Bacterial small subunit ribosomal RNA", at positions 29 to 507 of the family's 1533-position model. The record is from RNAcentral.
AACGAACGCUGGCGGCAUGCCUAACACAUGCAAGUCGAACGAGACCUUCGGGGCUAGUGGCGCACGGGUGCGUAACGCGUGGGAACCUGCCUUUAGGUUCGGAAUAAAUCAGAGAAAUUUGAGCUAAUACCGGAUGAUGUCUUCGGACCAAAGAUUUAUCGCCUUUAGAUGGGCCCGCGUUGGAUUAGCUAGUUGGUGGGGUAAAGGCCUACCAAGGCGACGAUCCAUAGCUGGUCUGAGAGGAUGAUCAGCCACACUGGGACUGAGACACGGCCCAGACUCCGACGGGAGGCAGCAGUGGGGAAUAUUGGACAAUGGGCGAAAGCCUGAUCCACCAAUGCCGCGUGAGUGAUGAAGGCCUUAGGGUUGUAAAGCUCUUUUACCCGAGCUGAUAAUGACAGUAUCGGGAGAAUAAGCUCCGGCUAACUCCGUG